This 428-nucleotide ribosomal RNA is filed under the name Actinomycetes bacterium. RNAcentral describes it as "Actinobacteria bacterium partial 16S ribosomal RNA". It matches the Rfam family "Bacterial small subunit ribosomal RNA", at positions 355 to 776 of the family's 1533-position model. The record is from RNAcentral. Lineage: Bacteria; Bacillati; Actinomycetota; Actinomycetes.
UAGGGAAUCUUCCGCAAUGGGCGAAAGCCUGACGGAGCAACGCCGCGUGAGUGAUGAAGGUCUUCGGAUCGUAAAACUCUGUUAUUAGGGAAGAACAAAUGUGUAAGUAACUAUGCACGUCUUGACGGUACCUAAUCAGAAAGCCACGGCUAACUACGUGCCAGCAGCCGCGGUAAUACGUAGGUGGCAAGCGUUAUCCGGAAUUAUUGGGCGUAAAGCGCGCGUAGGCGGUUUUUUAAGUCUGAUGUGAAAGCCCACGGCUCAACCGUGGAGGGUCAUUGGAAACUGGAAAACUUGAGUGCAGAAGAGGAAAGUGGAAUUCCAUGUGUAGCGGUGAAAUGCGCAGAGAUAUGGAGGAACACAGUGGCGAAGGCGACUUUCUGGUCUGUAACUGACGCUGAUGUGCGAAAGCGUGGGGAUCAAACAGG